RNAcentral lists this ribosomal RNA (253 nucleotides) under uncultured Eubacteriales bacterium. RNAcentral's name for it is "uncultured Clostridiales bacterium partial 16S ribosomal RNA". It matches the Rfam family "Bacterial small subunit ribosomal RNA", at positions 524 to 776 of the family's 1533-position model. The record is from RNAcentral. Lineage: Bacteria; Bacillati; Bacillota; Clostridia; Eubacteriales.
UACGUAGGGGGCAAGCGUUAUCCGGAUUUACUGGGUGUAAAGGGAGCGUAGACGGUGAUGUAAGUCUGGAGUGAAAGGCGGGGGCCCAACCCCCGGACUGCUCUGGAAACUAUAUGACUGGAGUGCAGGAGAGGUGAGCGGAAUUCCUAGUGUAGCGGUGAAAUGCUUAGAUAUCACGAAGAACUCCGAUUGCGAAGGCAGCUCACUGGACUGCAACUGACACUGAGGCUCGAAAGUGUGGGUAUCAAACAGG